This is a long non-coding RNA of Macrobrachium nipponense, 411 nucleotides long. RefSeq lists it as uncharacterized. The transcript is spliced from 3 exons. The record is from RefSeq and is a predicted model, not a curated record. Lineage: Eukaryota; Metazoa; Arthropoda; Malacostraca; Decapoda; Palaemonidae.
UCCAAGCGGACCAUUCCAAGGCACUGUGGACCUAAGUAUUAAGACAAAGUACGCCUUAUAAAACAUCAGGACUUCCUUUUGUCGUUAUAAAACAAGUGAGGUUUGAAGGUACUUCGUCUAGUUCUUCCGGUGAAGCUGGAAUGAGAAAACGAAGGAGGAGAGGGGGGUUGGGGGAACGACACAGAAAAGCAAGAAAACUUAAGGUCACUGGGAAUGAAUCCAUGGCAGAGGAGAUUGAAGAGCAGAUUUUUCAAGACUGUAAUAUAAUUUGUCCAUUUAUCAUCGCUGAAUGUGUUUCAGCCCCUCUCUUCCCCAAGGAUGAGGAGAACCCCCCCCUUAGAAUGGAUUUCACCGCUUGUAAGUUAAACAUCUCUAUAGGUCAACACCAAUGAAGGCAUUGAUGCAUCCUUU